GACGAACGCUGGCGGCGUGCUUAACACAUGCAAGUCGAACGGAAAGGCCCUGCUUUUGUGGGGUGCUCGAGUGGCGAACGGGUGAGUAACACGUGAGUAACCUGCCCUUGACUUUGGGAUAACUUCAGGAAACUGGGGCUAAUACCGGAUAGGAGCUCCUGCUGCAUGGUGGGGGUUGGAAAGUUUCGGCGGUUGGGGAUGGACUCGCGGCUUAUCAGCUUGUUGGUGGGGUAGUGGCUUACCAAGGCUUUGACGGGUAGCCGGCCUGAGAGGGUGACCGGCAAAUGGGGGAGUGAGAAAGGCCCCAGACGCAGAGGGGGGGAAGAGGGGGGAAAAAUGGAAAAAGGGGGGGAGGCCGGAGGAAGAAACGCCGGGGGGGGGAGGACGGCUUUGGGGUGGAAAACCGCUUGCGCCGGGGAGGAAGGGGGGGGGGGGGAAGGGGGAAAAGAAGAACCGGCAAACUACGUG
This 468-nucleotide ribosomal RNA is filed under the name uncultured bacterium. RNAcentral describes it as "partial 16S ribosomal RNA". It matches the Rfam family "Bacterial small subunit ribosomal RNA", at positions 28 to 507 of the family's 1533-position model. The record is from RNAcentral.